RNAcentral lists this ribosomal RNA (439 nucleotides) under uncultured bacterium. RNAcentral's name for it is "bacterial SSU rRNA". It matches the Rfam family "Bacterial small subunit ribosomal RNA", at positions 958 to 1398 of the family's 1533-position model. The record is from RNAcentral.
AACGCGAAGAACCUUACCAAGGCUUGACAUAUACCGGAAACGGCCAGAGAUGGUCGCCCCCUUGUGGUCGGUAUACAGGUGGUGCAUGGUUGUCGUCAGCUCGUGUCGUGAGAUGUUGGGUUAAGUCCCGCAACGAGCGCAACCCUCGUUCUGUGUUGCCAGCGGGUUAUGCCGGGGACUCACAGGAGACUGCCGGGGUCAACUCGGAGGAAGGUGGGGACGACGUCAAAUCAUCAUGCCCCUUAUGUCUUGGGCUGCAAACAUGCUACAAUGGCCGGUACAGAGGGCUGCGAGACCGUAAGGUGGAGCGAAUCUCAAAAAGCCGGUCUCAGUUCGGAUUGGGGUCUGCAACUCGACCCCAUGAAGUCGGAGUCGCUAGUAAUCGCGAAUCAGCAACGUCGCGGUGAAUACGUUCCCGGGCCUUGUACACACCGCUGUA